GGCUCUAUGGGGGUCUAUGGGCCCUCAUUACUAUGCGCAAAGCCCUGCUCCCAUUGGCUGUUCUGAAGGCGCUGCUCAACGCCCUGCAGCUCAUAGAAGCCGCGAAGCGAUUGGCCGCCAUCGACAUACGGGAACGCAAGGGGCAUUAAGCCACGCCCCCUUCAUUAGGCCACGCCCCCUUCAUUAAGCCACGCCCCCUCCAUUAAGCCACGCCCCCACCCCAUUGGCCGCCAUUGACAUAAUGGAACCCAAUGGACCCAUAGGCCACGCCCCCUUCAUUAAGCCACGCCCCCUUCAUUAAGCCACGCCCCCCAUAGGCCACGCCCCCACCCCAUUGGCCGCCAUUGACAUAAUGGAACCCAAUGGACCCACAGGCCACGCCCCCUUCAUUAAGCCACGCCCACAUUAAGCCACGCCCCCUCCCCAUUGGCCGCCAUGGACAUAAUGGAACCCAAUGUACCCAUAGGCCACGCCCCCUUCGUUAAGCCACUCCCCCUUCGUUAAGCCACGCCCCCACCCCAUUGGCUGCCAUUGACAUAAUGGAACUCAAUGGACCCAUAGGCCACGCCCCCUCCAUGAAGCCCCGCCCCCUUUCUGCCCUGCCCUCUUCCCAUUGGCUGCAGCACUCCAUAAGCCCCGCCCACUUUCCUCUCGACCAAUCGCAGCCCGCCGGGACCAAUCAGGCCACGCCCACCGCCCCCGUGGCCACGCCCCCUAAUGAAUAAAGGUUGUGGAGGUCACGUGA
Molecule: non-coding RNA, 745 nt
Organism: Coturnix japonica (Japanese quail)
Lineage: Eukaryota; Metazoa; Chordata; Aves; Galliformes; Phasianidae
Source: RefSeq, a predicted model, not a curated record